CCUACGGGAGGCAGCAGUGAGGAAUAUUGGUCAAUGGGCGUAAGCCUGAACCAGCCAAGUCGCGUGAGGGAUGAAGGUUCUAUGGAUCGUAAACCUCUUUUAUAAGGGAAUAAAGUGCGGGACGUGUCCCGUUUUGUAUGUACCUUAUGAAUAAGGAUCGGCUAACUCCGUGCCAGCAGCCGCGGUAAUACGGAGGAUCCGAGCGUUAUCCGGAUUUAUUGGGUUUAAAGGGUGGGUAGGCGGCCUGUUAAGUCAGCGGGGAAAGUCUGUGGCUCAACCAUAGAAUUGCCGUGGAAACUGGGAGGCUUGAGGAUGUUGGAGGCAGGCGGAAUGCGUGGUGUAGCGGUGAAAUGCUUAGAUAUCACGCAGAACCCCGAUUGCGAAGGCAGCCUGCCAAGCCAUGACUGACGCUGAUGCACGAAAGCGUGGGGAUCAAACAGGAGUAGAUACCCGUGUAGUC
RNAcentral lists this ribosomal RNA (460 nucleotides) under uncultured bacterium. RNAcentral describes it as "partial 16S ribosomal RNA". It matches the Rfam family "Bacterial small subunit ribosomal RNA", at positions 338 to 795 of the family's 1533-position model. The record is from RNAcentral.